GGGGGCCCGCACAAGCGGCGGAGCAUGCGGAUUAAUUCGAUGCAACGCGAAGAACCUUACCAAGGCUUGACAUGAACCGGAAAUACCUGGAAACAGGCGCCCCGCUUGCGGUCGGUUUACAGGUGGUGCAUGGUUGUCGUCAGCUCGUGUCGUGAGAUGUUGGGUUAAGUCCCGCAACGAGCGCAACCCUCGUUCUAUGUUGCCAGCGCGUUAUGGCGGGGACUCAUAGGAGACUGCCGGGGUCAACUCGGAGGAAGGUGGGGACGACGUCAAAUCAUCAUGCCCCUUAUGUCUUGGGCUUCACGCAUGCUACAAUGGCCGGUACAAAGGGUUGCGAUACUGUGAGGUGGAGCUAAUCCCAAAAAGCCGGUCUCAGUUCGGAUUGGGGUCUGCAACUCGACCCCAUGAAGUCGGAGUCGCUAGUAAUCGCAGAUCAGCAACGCUGCGGUGAAUACGUUCCCGGGCCUUGUACACACCGCCCGUCAAGUCACGAAAGUUGGUAACACCCGAAGCCGGUGGCCUAACCCCUUGUGGGAGGGAGCUGUCGAAGGUGGGACUGGCGAUUGGGACUAAGUCGUAACAAGGUAACCGUAAGGGC
Molecule: ribosomal RNA, 598 nt
Filed under: uncultured bacterium
Lineage: Bacteria
Description: bacterial SSU rRNA
Rfam family: Bacterial small subunit ribosomal RNA
Source: RNAcentral